CUUCAAUGAAGAGAUGAUGACGAGUCUGAAUGGGGAUGUUCUUUGUCCAGGCGGCCUUACUCUGGCUGCGUUCUGUAGCACAGUUUAAAGGGCCCUGGGCAAAGUCAUUCCUAAAGAUGACCUAGAGGCAUUUGUCUGAGAAGG
Small nucleolar RNA from Tupaia belangeri (northern tree shrew), 144 nucleotides. The record is from Ensembl. NCBI's taxonomy places the organism in Eukaryota, Metazoa, Chordata, Mammalia, Scandentia, Tupaiidae.